This 2933-nucleotide ribosomal RNA is filed under the name Escherichia coli. RNAcentral describes it as "23S ribosomal RNA". It matches the Rfam family "Bacterial large subunit ribosomal RNA". The record is from RNAcentral. Lineage: Bacteria; Pseudomonadati; Pseudomonadota; Gammaproteobacteria; Enterobacterales; Enterobacteriaceae.
GGGUUGUGAGGUUAAGCGACUAAGCGUACACGGUGGAUGCCCUGGCAGUCAGAGGCGAUGAAGGACGUGCUAAUCUGCGAUAAGCGUCGGUAAGGUGAUAUGAACCGUUAUAACCGGCGAUUUCCGAAUGGGGAAACCCAGUGUGUUUCGACACACUAUCAUUAACUGAAUCCAUAGGUUAAUGAGGCGAACCGGGGGAACUGAAACAUCUAAGUACCCCGAGGAAAAGAAAUCAACCGAGAUUCCCCCAGUAGCGGCGAGCGAACGGGGAGCAGCCCAGAGCCUGAAUCAGUAUGUGUGUUAGUGGAAGCGUCUGGAAAGGCGCGCGAUACAGGGUGACAGCCCCGUACACAAAAAUGCACAUGCUGUGAGCUCGAUGAGUAGGGCGGGACACGUGGUAUCCUGUCUGAAUAUGGGGGGACCAUCCUCCAAGGCUAAAUACUCCUGACUGACCGAUAGUGAACCAGUACCGUGAGGGAAAGGCGAAAAGAACCCCGGCGAGGGGAGUGAAAAAGAACCUGAAACCGUGUACGUACAAGCAGUGGGAGCACAGAGCAAUCUGUGUGACUGCGUACCUUUUGUAUAAUGGGUCAGCGACUUAUAUUCUGUAGCAAGGUUAACCGAAUAGGGGAGCCGAAGGGAAACCGAGUCUUAACUGGGCGUUAAGUUGCAGGGUAUAGACCCGAAACCCGGUGAUCUAGCCAUGGGCAGGUUGAAGGUUGGGUAACACUAACUGGAGGACCGAACCGACUAAUGUUGAAAAAUUAGCGGAUGACUUGUGGCUGGGGGUGAAAGGCCAAUCAAACCGGGAGAUAGCUGGUUCUCCCCGAAAGCUAUUUAGGUAGCGCCUCGUGAAUUCAUCUCCGGGGGUAGAGCACUGUUUCGGCAAGGGGGUCAUCCCGACUUACCAACCCGAUGCAAACUGCGAAUACCGGAGAAUGUUAUCACGGGAGACACACGGCGGGUGCUAACGUCCGUCGUGAAGAGGGAAACAACCCAGACCGCCAGCUAAGGUCCCAAAGUCAUGGUUAAGUGGGAAACGAUGUGGGAAGGCCCAGACAGCCAGGAUGUUGGCUUAGAAGCAGCCAUCAUUUAAAGAAAGCGUAAUAGCUCACUGGUCGAGUCGGCCUGCGCGGAAGAUGUAACGGGGCUAAACCAUGCACCGAAGCUGCGGCAGCGACGCUUAUGCGUUGUUGGGUAGGGGAGCGUUCUGUAAGCCUGCGAAGGUGUGCUGUGAGGCAUGCUGGAGGUAUCAGAAGUGCGAAUGCUGACAUAAGUAACGAUAAAGCGGGUGAAAAGCCCGCUCGCCGGAAGACCAAGGGUUCCUGUCCAACGUUAAUCGGGGCAGGGUGAGUCGACCCCUAAGGCGAGGCCGAAAGGCGUAGUCGAUGGGAAACAGGUUAAUAUUCCUGUACUUGGUGUUACUGCGAAGGGGGGACGGAGAAGGCUAUGUUGGCCGGGCGACGGUUGUCCCGGUUUAAGCGUGUAGGCUGGUUUUCCAGGCAAAUCCGGAAAAUCAAGGCUGAGGCGUGAUGACGAGGCACUACGGUGCUGAAGCAACAAAUGCCCUGCUUCCAGGAAAAGCCUCUAAGCAUCAGGUAACAUCAAAUCGUACCCCAAACCGACACAGGUGGUCAGGUAGAGAAUACCAAGGCGCUUGAGAGAACUCGGGUGAAGGAACUAGGCAAAAUGGUGCCGUAACUUCGGGAGAAGGCACGCUGAUAUGUAGGUGAAGUCCCUCGCGGAUGGAGCUGAAAUCAGUCGAAGAUACCAGCUGGCUGCAACUGUUUAUUAAAAACACAGCACUGUGCAAACACGAAAGUGGACGUAUACGGUGUGACGCCUGCCCGGUGCCGGAAGGUUAAUUGAUGGGGUCAGCGCAAGCGAAGCUCUUGAUCGAAGCCCCGGUAAACGGCGGCCGUAACUAUAACGGUCCUAAGGUAGCGAAAUUCCUUGUCGGGUAAGUUCCGACCUGCACGAAUGGCGUAAUGAUGGCCAGGCUGUCUCCACCCGAGACUCAGUGAAAUUGAACUCGCUGUGAAGAUGCAGUGUACCCGCGGCAAGACGGAAAGACCCCGUGAACCUUUACUAUAGCUUGACACUGAACAUUGAGCCUUGAUGUGUAGGAUAGGUGGGAGGCUUUGAAGUGUGGACGCCAGUCUGCAUGGAGCCGACCUUGAAAUACCACCCUUUAAUGUUUGAUGUUCUAACGUGGACCCGUGAUCCGGGUUGCGGACAGUGUCUGGUGGGUAGUUUGACUGGGGCGGUCUCCUCCUAAAGAGUAACGGAGGAGCACGAAGGUUGGCUAAUCCUGGUCGGACAUCAGGAGGUUAGUGCAAUGGCAUAAGCCAGCUUGACUGCGAGCGUGACGGCGCGAGCAGGUGCGAAAGCAGGUCAUAGUGAUCCGGUGGUUCUGAAUGGAAGGGCCAUCGCUCAACGGAUAAAAGGUACUCCGGGGAUAACAGGCUGAUACCGCCCAAGAGUUCAUAUCGACGGCGGUGUUUGGCACCUCGAUGUCGGCUCAUCACAUCCUGGGGCUGAAGUAGGUCCCAAGGGUAUGGCUGUUCGCCAUUUAAAGUGGUACGCGAGCUGGGUUUAGAACGUCGUGAGACAGUUCGGUCCCUAUCUGCCGUGGGCGCUGGAGAACUGAGGGGGGCUGCUCCUAGUACGAGAGGACCGGAGUGGACGCAUCACUGGUGUUCGGGUUGUCAUGCCAAUGGCACUGCCCGGUAGCUAAAUGCGGAAGAGAUAAGUGCUGAAAGCAUCUAAGCACGAAACUUGCCCCGAGAUGAGUUCUCCCUGACUCCUUGAGAGUCCUGAAGGAACGUUGAAGACGACGACGUUGAUAGGCCGGGUGUGUAAGCGCAGCGAUGCGUUGAGCUAACCGGUACUAAUGAACCGUGAGGCUUAACCUUACAACGCCGAAGGUGUUU